Molecule: ribosomal RNA, 226 nt
Filed under: uncultured bacterium
Lineage: Bacteria
Description: partial 16S ribosomal RNA
Rfam family: Bacterial small subunit ribosomal RNA
Source: RNAcentral
UACGUAGGGUCCGAGCGUUGUCCGGAAUUAUUGGGCGUAAAGGGCUCGUAGGCGGUUUUGUCGCGUCGGGAGUGAAAACCUACAGCUUAACUGUGGGCUUGCUUUCGAUACGGGCAGACUUGAGGCAUGCAGGGGAGACUGGAAUUCCUGGUGUAGCGGUGAAAUGCGCAGAUAUCAGGAGGAACACCGAUGGCGAAGGCAGGUCUCUGGGCAUUAACUGACGCUG